GGAGAGGUGGCAGAGUGGUCGAUUGCGGCGGUCUUGAAAACCGUUGACGUGUGAGCGUCCCAGGGUUCGAAUCCCUGUCUCUCCGCCA
RNAcentral lists this transfer RNA (88 nucleotides) under Paracoccaceae bacterium. RNAcentral's name for it is "Rhodobacteraceae bacterium tRNA-Ser". It matches the Rfam family "tRNA". Rfam says of the family: Transfer RNA (tRNA) molecules are approximately 80 nucleotides in length. Their secondary structure includes four short double-helical elements and three loops (D, anti-codon, and T loops). Lineage: Bacteria; Pseudomonadati; Pseudomonadota; Alphaproteobacteria; Rhodobacterales; Paracoccaceae. The record is from RNAcentral.